RNAcentral lists this small nuclear RNA (182 nucleotides) under Mesocricetus auratus (golden hamster). RNAcentral's name for it is "7SK RNA". It matches the Rfam family "7SK RNA", at positions 1 to 188 of the family's 331-position model. Rfam says of the family: 7SK was discovered as an abundant small nuclear RNA in the mid-70s but a possible function has only recently been suggested. Two independent studies have found that 7SK RNA binds the CDK9/cyclin T complex (known as elongation factor P-TEFb). The record is from Rfam by way of RNAcentral. Lineage: Eukaryota; Metazoa; Chordata; Mammalia; Rodentia; Cricetidae.
AGAAGGGAUCUGACUGCAACAUCUGCUACCACAUGGGUCUCUGGAGUCAAUUCUGCUGAUCUGGCUGGCUAAGUGGGUGUCCCUUCCUUCCCUCCUGGCUCCAUAUGUGUCCCUCUUGAAACCGCAUGCUCAUUUGAAGAAGGUAAACCUUUCUUCAGUUGGGCUCUCCUACUAGAAACAAG